UUUACUGGGCGUAAAGGGUGCGUAGGCGGUCUUUCAAGUCAGGAGUGAAAGGCUACGGCUCAACCGUAGUAAGCUCUUGAAACUGGGAGACUUGAGUGCAGGAGAGGAGAGGGGAAUUCCUAGUGUAGCGGUGAAAUGCGUAGAUAUUAGGAGGAACACCAGUUGCGAAGGCGGCUCUCUGGACUGUAACUGACGCUGAGGCACGAAAGCGUGGGGAGCAAACAGGAUUAGAUACCCUGGUAGUCCACGCUGUAAACGAUGAGUACUAGGUGUCGGGGGUUACCCCCUUCGG
This 292-nucleotide ribosomal RNA is filed under the name Clostridioides difficile. RNAcentral's name for it is "partial 16S ribosomal RNA". It matches the Rfam family "Bacterial small subunit ribosomal RNA", at positions 550 to 843 of the family's 1533-position model. The record is from RNAcentral. Lineage: Bacteria; Bacillati; Bacillota; Clostridia; Peptostreptococcales; Peptostreptococcaceae.